AUUGAACGCUGGCGGCAGGCUUAACACAUGCAAGUCGAGCGGAGACUUCGGUCUUAGCGGCGAACGGGUGAGUAAUACCUAGGAAUCUGCCUAUUAGUGGGGGAUAACGAAUCGAAAGGUUCGCUAAUACCGCAUACGUCCUACGGGAGAAAGGGGGGGAGUCUUCGGACCUCUCGCUAAUAGAUGAGCCUAGGCCGGAUUAGCUAGUUGGUAGGGUAAAGGCCUACCAAGGCGGACGAUCUGUAGCUGGUCUGAGAGGAUGGCCAGCCACACUGGAACUGAGACACGGUCCAGACUCCUACGGGAGGGCAG
This 312-nucleotide ribosomal RNA is filed under the name uncultured bacterium. Its description in RNAcentral is "bacterial SSU rRNA". It matches the Rfam family "Bacterial small subunit ribosomal RNA", at positions 30 to 354 of the family's 1533-position model. The record is from RNAcentral.